Molecule: ribosomal RNA, 496 nt
Filed under: uncultured bacterium
Lineage: Bacteria
Description: partial 16S ribosomal RNA
Rfam family: Bacterial small subunit ribosomal RNA
Source: RNAcentral
ACUCAAAGGAAUUGACGGGGGCCCGCACAAGCGGUGGAGCAUGUGGCUCAAUUCGAUGCAACGCGAAGAACCUUACCUGGCCUUGACAUGCACUAGACAGACGCUGAAAGGCGUUCUCCCUUCGGGGCUGGUGCACAGGUGCUGCAUGGCUGUCGUCAGCUCGUGUCGUGAGAUGUUGCGUUAAGUCGCGCAACGAGCGCAACCCCUGUCCUUAGUUGCCAUCAUUAAGUUGGGCACUCUAAGGAGACAAACCCUCUCUGAGGGUGGGAAGGUGGGGAUGACGUCAAGUCAGGAUGGCCCUUACGGCCAGGGCUGCACACGUGCUACAAUGCCCGAUACAGAGGGACGCAACACCGCGAGGUGAAGCAAAUCCCAAAAAUCGGGCCCAGUUCAGAUUGUAGUCUGCAACUCGACUACAUGAAGUUGGAAUCGCUAGUAAUGGCGUAUCAGCUACGACGCCGUGAAUACGUUCCCGGGCCUUGUACACACCGCCCGU